AGAAACUCGCCCUCCAGCUCUGCCAGUUGCAACUUCGAAUAGGGCUUGCGCUUCUUCCGAGAGCGGCUGUUGAUCGGGUACCAGGGCGCGCCUGGGUGGAGAUGAAUGGCAGGGGUUGGCCAAAGGAUCAAAGGGUGACCAGUCCAGUGCCCUUGGCCCUUCCCCAGACCCUUUCACCUUCGCCUCACAGCUGGACUCCAGGCCCUUUCUCUCCCUUCUCCUUGCCGCCAGUCAUCUGAAUCGUCUUUUCUACCCAGACCCACAUCCCCACCAACUCCCCCACUUUCUUUACUCUUUUUUUUCCUUUCAUUCUUUGCUCUUACCUCCUCAACCCUACCUCCUGCUGCACUAUUCAUGACCCUUCUAAGUCCCUAUCCCCUCCUUUUUUCCCAAACCUCUCCCCAAUUUUCUUCUUCCCUAUUUCCUGGUCCCUUCCUCUCACAUCCUUCAGGACUGGAUCCCGGAUCAGUUACAACAGAUAUGGGCGAAUGGCAGAGUAAACGCAUCCACUGGCAUUUCUUUCGAAAUCUCUUUAUCCUCAGGAAUUUGGAGAGACAUUUGGAGUCCUCUUCCCCAAUACUCAAGGAUAAUUGAUAAUGCCGGGUUUUCCUCUGGAGCCGGGAGCCACCCAGCCUCACACCUCCACUCACGGCUAGAGGAAGGAUGCGGAAGGGAGGUAGAGAAUGCAGCAAAAGGAGGUGCCUAGCUCCACAUGGACCUGCCUGCCUGCUCCUGAAAAUCUGGGGGCGAACUACUCUUCUGCUGUCAUUUCCGGGGAACUGAGGAGCUUCUGGGGGCCUCCUGGAGUCUUUGCAGUGGGAAGCUUUGGACCCCUAACAGGGCUUGACUGGGCUGAGAGGGGCCUAAUUCUCACUGCGGAGGAGACAACUGCACCCCAGAACCGGCCAAGCCUGCCCCUGGGACCAUCAGAUAGCAGUGCAGAGGCCCGCAGUAGGUUGCCUCCUGAGGGGGCUAGGAUUGAGGGAAAAAACCCUUGAAGAAUUAUCUUAUUGGGGGGUGAAAUUAUAUUUAUGGUGCAAACUCAGAAGCUCCCUCCAGAGAAGGCCGAGAAGCAAUGCUGGCCAUUGGUGAGAUAAUCAACAUCUGCAAAACCACAAUCCGAUCUCAACUAGGUCCACAGAACACAGCCAAGCGGAUUAAAAAGAAAGACAAAAUAAAACUCCCCCAAACCAGAUGUAUCCUUUUGGGGUCUAAUAGAAAAAACACUCGAAUUUCCAUGUGAUUAUUUCGAGCUUCUAACCAAUGCAUGGCUUAAGUAAUACAGGGUUGGAUAAAUAGUUCAGUAAACGUCUAAAUACGAAAAAAUACCAGAAGAUUGAAAGAAAAUUGGAGACAGAGAUUCGGAGAGAAUGAGAAAGAAACCCAUUUAGGUGAAAGUUAAAUAUCAGAGAAAGCCUGAGAAUAAGCCAAAGCUG
Molecule: long non-coding RNA, 1436 nt
Filed under: Homo sapiens (human)
Lineage: Eukaryota; Metazoa; Chordata; Mammalia; Primates; Hominidae
Description: HSALNT0368390
Source: RNAcentral